GACGAACGCUGGCGGCGUGCUUAACACAUGCAAGUCGAGCGGUAAGGCCCUUUCGGGGGUACGACGAGCGGCGAACGGGUGAGUAACACGUGGGUGGACCUGCCCUCCAGCUCUGGGAGUAAGCCUGGGAAACUAGGGUCGUAAUAACUGGAUAUGACUCCACGGUGCAUGUCGUGGGGUGGAAAGCCUUGUGCGGCUGAGGAUGGGCCCGCGGCCUAUCAGCUUGUUGGUGGGGUGGAUGGCCUACCAAGGCGACGACGGGUAGCCGGCCUGAGAGGGCGACCGGCCACACUGGGACUGAGACACGGCCCAGACUCCUACGGGAGGGCAGCAGUGGGGAAGUCUUGCGUAAUGGGCGAAAGCCUGACGCAGCGACGCCGCGUGAGGGAUGACGGCCU
This 398-nucleotide ribosomal RNA is filed under the name uncultured bacterium. RNAcentral describes it as "bacterial SSU rRNA". It matches the Rfam family "Bacterial small subunit ribosomal RNA", at positions 28 to 417 of the family's 1533-position model. The record is from RNAcentral.